AGCCUCUUAACCACAAUCCCCUUCUGGCCGGUGUAUUCACAGGUGAACAAUUCAUUAGGUCUGGCUCUGACCCGUGGGGCUGAGUCAUCAUCAGUCAGACCGCCUGAACCUGUUCCUCUCUGGGAAGCCCAUACAAACCUAAUCCCUAAACUGACAACACUGAGGGCAAGACUCUGAACUUUGGUAACCCUGCGACAGGGCUGCUAGUCCCUGCUCCUGCUCAGAGCUGCAGACUGCCUCUCCCCGGGGCAGGAGGUGAGCUAUUGCAGAAAUCCUGCUCUGCCAUGGAGCGCGAGGGCUGAGGGCUUGGGCAGAGAGGCAGACAGACUGGUUUGAAAUCCAGCCCCUGAACUUAGUAGCCGAGCAACCCUGGCUUGGGCAAGAUUUUUUUUACCGCUCUGCCCUUCAACCCUUACCCGUAAAACGAAGACAAGAACAGUCUCCUGCUUGUUGCUGUCAGGAUAACAUGAAAAAACACAGCAAGCUUUCAGCCCGUGGGAGCCUUAUUAUCACUGCUGUCAUUACCAGUCUUAAGGGGAGGUGUAUACAACAAAGUGGGUUUGAAUCCUGGUGCCAUCACUUUUUAGCCAUGUGACUUUAAGCAAGUUUACUAACCUUCUCAAUUCCUCACCUUUAAUUUAGGAAGUUUCGGGGGGGAGGGGUGGGGGAGUCCGGUGCCCUCCUCCUUAAAUUAAAAUCAGCUUCUGUGAAGGAAUUGGGAAAUGCCAGAGGUAGGGGAUGAUUCUUGUCACGUAUGGACAGCGUCUGCCCUAAGCCGUGGUCUGUCAGGAGGCAGCCAAGGACUUCUGGACCAUCUGAAUCUCAUCAGAGCGUCCAGGGUGUGGUCUCCAGAGCGCGGCUGUGGCAGCUGGUCUGAAGCUUUCGACUAGUUUGUGUGCGUUUGAGCUGAAAGAAGACUGCUGUACGCAAGGAGCGUGGUGAGGAUGGUCGGCCCGCGGGUUUGGGAAAAAAAGGCCCCAGAGAAAGGCCACGUGUGUGCACGCUGCGCUGGAAGCCCAGCCUCAGGAGCUGAGAUGGGCAGCCCGCGGCAGUUCACGUCGCCAUGGCAAUGAGGGCCCUGGGUGAGGAGAGCUCCCUGGCCUGGGCUCUAAACCUCGGGUUCUGCUUCCAUGCCCCAGGCAGCGCUCACCACCUCACAGGGAGAAAAGCUCAGAUCAUCGGCACCCCAGUCUCUCGGGAACGUGUCAGAUUCUGAGUUGAUGUUAGUUCUGAGAUGCUGACCGGUCACUGACAACACGGAGUUUCUGGGCCUGCCAGGCUGAGAACUGGAUCCUGUCACACAGCAGCCCCACCAAGUUACUGCCACCCUGAGGCCCAGACUAGCUGGCAACUGACCUGGAGGGCACUGGUCUCCCAGUCACCUUCUUUAUCUGUAAUGAUACCUCCCUCAGGAUGUGUAAAGCAUUAAAUAUCUGUGUGUGGCAUACACUUGGUGCUCAACCAUGCUGAUUUUUUCCCCCAUCUUCUGUAAACCCUGUCACCUGCCUAGGCCAAGAGAUGCGAUUACCUUAAGGCCUGGAACUCUGCCUCCUGUUGCUCUGGUUUCUCUCCUUCGCUUCCCAGUAAGUCCCUAGGACUUGACUUGCCCUCGGUAGUUGUCUUAUCCAUGCUGUGGGUUCUCACCACCCUGACCUCUGCCCACACAUCAGUCAUGCCCUCCAGGUGUCCCCUGAGCCACACAGGGCAGCCACCCAGGGGAGCACAGCAGACUGGCAAAGCAUAGCACCCAAAUUCUGGAGCUGCCACCUACUCACCGUGGGACCUGGCUCCAGCCAUUCCCAUUUCUGAGGCUCUACUUCCUCCUGUGUGAAAUAACAGCUUUGGGCUAGUCCUCACAAGCUGUACUUGCGUGAAUGAGUCAUUCCAUCCAUCCAUCCAUCCACCCAUCCACCCAUCCACCCAUCGCACAAACUCUCAGCAACUUCUCAGUGCUGCCUUAGCUACAGCGUUAAGAAGACAGAGUUGAAUGGACAUGCCCCAGGCUUCAAGCCCUUCACACCACGGUGAAGGAGACAGACCUCCACAAAAUAGGAUGUACCCUCACCAGGGACAAGCGGUGUGACAAGAUGGCGGCAGGGGGCUCCCUCUAAGCGGCGCCUGGGUCCCUUGGCGUUGUGGUGGGCGCCCAGGAGCCAGUCCCGCUGCCGGCGGCGAUGCCUCCCCUCUCGGAGCAUUACUCAGCGCCCUGAAAUGUCUGCCUCUCUGCAGCACGGCCCCCUCGUCCUCCUGGAGCGCGGCACAAAGGUCCUGUUGUGGGCCUGCAGCCCAGGCAGCAGCCGGGCCUCGGGGUGACUCACGAUCUUGCCAUUUCCUUUGUGUGGCUCCCAGGAUCCUAGCUGGAAGCCGAGUGUGCGUCUGCCGGGCUGCGCUCCAGCGUCGCCCCUCCGGGAGGAGACAGCUCCAGUCCCGCCUUUCGUGUGGCGGGGGCGGCGGGGCUCCCUGCACGCGAGGCCACCCACGCCUGGAGCCUCGCCAGGACAGCGGUUGGCGCAGGGACCAAGAUGUUGCAGCCUGGCCUCGGCGAGGAUCAAAGCACCCGCUCUGGGGGUGGCAUGUGCUCCCCAUCAGGCGUUGCUCUGCUCCCCGCCCCCUAAACGAACCCAUCUUUAGGAAAAGUGAAAAUUAACCACGGAAGGAAAGGGCCCAUAUGGCUUGGGGAGAGACGUGGGCUGCCGGCCUCCCGCUGGUCUUUGGUUCCAGCUCAGAUGCCUUGUCAGCAGCAGCAGCAGAACCUGUGUUUGAAGGCAUCUUCACAGGCUUGGCUCAGGGCUUGGGCUCCUCGCACUUGGCGGCCUGGCCAAAGCUCGGGCUGGUGUGUAGCCAGAGGCAGCAGCCCCAGGGGUGCUUAAUGAAUAGUGAAGGAGCCAGUGAGCACUGGACUAGGAGCCUGGAGAUGGGUUCUUCCGCAGGUUAACUGCAUCACCUUCAGCAAGUUUUACCCGUAGAAUUUCAGGCAUCUUUCCAAGCAGGUCCCAAGUCACAGCUCCUAAGAUCCUUCCUGGUCUGGCUCCUGCCUCCUGCUCUGGCUUUAUCUCUGCUCACGUACCCCUUACACUUUACACUCCAGCCAGGCUGAGCAACUUGUCCUCAAGGGUCUCUGAGUCAGCUGGGGUGUCACCUCCUGCAGGAAGCUUCUCCCUGGCAUCUGGCAUUGGCGCUCCUCCUCUGCACAAUUUGGAGAACUUCUGCAAAGCCCUGUCAGAGCAGCCCCACCCCAGACUCUGCGAUUCCUGCUUGCUUACAUGAGGAGGGCGCUGAAUGAGCUCCUCAUGUGAAACUACAGGUGCUAUGGUGAGGCCAUUGCCCAGGACUGAGGAGGGAUCCACACAGCAAGAGAGGGUGCAGCUGGCAUCAAUCUUCGGGGUCAAAGCCAACUCACGAUUUGUAAUCAGACCCUUGAAACCAAAACCUACAUGGAUGUAAUGACGUUACAUCUUGGGCCAAGUCAGCAGACUGUCCUGAGAACAAUGCAGUAAGCAUCAAGGAUAAUCCCCACACUCCUGCAGUUCCUUAGGACUUGCAAACCUUUCACCAUCAAUAGUCUCAUUGGAUUUGAGGAGGUGGGGUGAAGAUAAUUUCUGCCCCUGUUUUAGAGAUGAGCCUACUAAGCUUGAGGGAAAUUGAGUCUUGCCUAAUAUCCCAUAAAGAGUAAGUGGGAAGAAAGAAUCCAGGUCUUCCUUCAACCAAUCCUCAAAGGCUGGUGAGUGUCAAGCACCACAAAGAUGAGGGAGAUGUGGUUCUUGCCACCAGGGAGCAGCCAGGAUUGUCAGUGAGACCCAAUAGAGCCCAAGAAGUGUUACUUUCAUGAGAGGAACAGGGGCCUACUGGAGUCCAGAGGACAGAGAGGUUUGUUCUGACUGUGAAGUCAGGGAAGGCUUCCUAGAAGAGGAGACUUUUAAAUGGGGCUUUGAAUGGUGGGUAAGAGUCUCCCCAAGGAUGUAAAGCACCAUCCUCUGGGCCUGACCAAAUCUCUGCGGCAUUGAACUGAUCCUCGUGUUCUGUAGGCAGCUCUCCCAGAGGGAGGAGGAAUUUGAGAAUCAUCAUCAGUUGAAUAGGAAACCGAGAUGGGUGAAAGGAGGUUAGCUGAGGGUUCUUUUAAGACAAGGGAUACUACAGCAUGUCUUAGGCUGAAGGCAAUGAUCCAGAAGGAAGGCAAGUAUAGUGCCCAAGCAUCAACCAGAGACAUCAGCCUGAACCUGCUUUGACAUUCAGUUUCCUCCUCUGGUGCCUUCUACAUGACUUAGUGGACUUGCACCUGGAUCCUUGGAUCCAUGUCCUCCAUCUUUAUUCUCUACCUUUUUCCCUAGUUCCUUAUCCUGUCCACUCCAGCAUCACCUCUACACAUUACUGGCAGAGCAGAGCAGAAAAAUCCAUCUAGUUAGGCUUGUCCACUCCAUUGAUUUAUCUCUUUGAAAGGAAAUGCAAAUUUAAGUAGAAGAUUCUAAGGGAGAUUGAGCCAACCUGCAUCUAGCCCUCAAUUCCCACAGACCCCAGAGACCCAUGUUUGGCAGCCUACAAGUGCCUCCCGUGAAACCACUGGGAAACAGUCAACACUUAGACUUGUAGAUCCAUAUUGUAGUCUCUGUAUCCUUCACUGCUUUUUGUAGACAUUGUUGUAUUAGAUUCAUUUAGGGAUGACAAUCCAACUAAUUACUACGAAGCAAUGCAACCGCCCCCCCCCCCCCAAAACUCCCUUCCUCCUGAAAGGGUGGACCCGGGAAGUCAUCGUGGUAUCAUGUACCACUGCUCCUCCUCAGUUGACUGGUCUGAGAAUGGAUACAUGGCAUUGGGCCACAGUCUGUGCCAACCC
Long non-coding RNA from Equus caballus (horse), 4831 nucleotides. The record is from Ensembl. NCBI's taxonomy places the organism in Eukaryota, Metazoa, Chordata, Mammalia, Perissodactyla, Equidae.